This 429-nucleotide ribosomal RNA is filed under the name uncultured Lactobacillus sp. Its description in RNAcentral is "bacterial SSU rRNA". It matches the Rfam family "Bacterial small subunit ribosomal RNA", at positions 118 to 524 of the family's 1533-position model. The record is from RNAcentral. Lineage: Bacteria; Bacillati; Bacillota; Bacilli; Lactobacillales; Lactobacillaceae.
UGGGUAAACCUGCCCAAGAGAUCGGGGAUAACACCUGGGAAACAGAUGCUAAUACCCGGAUAACAACAGAUGAUGCCUAUCAACUGUUUAAAGAUGGUUCUGCUAUCACUCUUGGAUGGACCUGCGGUGCAUUAGCUAGUUGGUAGGGGUAACGGGCCUACCCAAGGCGAUGAUGCAUAGCCCGAGUUGAGAGACUGAUCGGGCCACAUUGGGGACUGAGACACGGCCCAAAACUCCUACGGGAGGCAGCAGUAGGGAAUCUUCCACAAUGGACGCAAGUCUGAUGGAGCAACGCCGCGUGAGUGAAGAAGGGUUUCGGCUCGUAAAAGCUCUGUUGUUGGUGAAGAAGGACAGGGGUAGUAACUGACCUUUGUUUGACGGUAAUCAAUUAGAAAGUCACGGCUAACUACGUGCCACAGCCGCGGUAAU